AUUUUAUACCUCAACUUUACAUGC
This 24-nucleotide non-coding RNA is filed under the name Arabidopsis thaliana (thale cress). Lineage: Eukaryota; Viridiplantae; Streptophyta; Magnoliopsida; Brassicales; Brassicaceae. The record is from RNAcentral.